Molecule: ribosomal RNA, 497 nt
Filed under: uncultured bacterium
Lineage: Bacteria
Description: partial 16S ribosomal RNA
Rfam family: Bacterial small subunit ribosomal RNA
Source: RNAcentral
GAUGAACGCUGGCGGCGUGCCUAAUACAUGCAAGUCGAGCGAACAGACGAGGAGCUUGCUCCUCUGACGUUAGCGGCGGACGGGUGAGCAACACGUGGAUAACCUACCUAUAAGACUGGGAUAACUUCGGGAAACCGGAGCUAAUACCGGAUAAUAUAUUGAACCGCAUGGUUCAAUAGUGAAAGACGGUUUUGCUGUCACUUAUAGAUGGAUCCGCGCCGCAUUAGCUAGUUGGUAAGGUAACGGCUUACCAAGGCAACGAUGCGUAGCCGACCUGAGAGGGUGAUCGGCCACACUGGAACUGAGACACGGUCCAGACUCCUACGGGAGGCAGCAGUAGGGAAUCUUCCGCAAUGGGCGAAAGCUUGACGGAGCAACGCCGCGUGAGUGAUGAAGGUCUUCGGAUCGUAAAACUCCGUUAUUAGGGAAGAACAAAUGUGUAAGUAACUAUGCACGUCUUGACGGUACCUAAUCAGAAAGCCACGGCUAACUACGUG